CGCGUAGGCGGGAUGGCAAGUCGGUCGUGAAAUCCUUCGGCUCAGCCGAAGAACGUCGAUCGAUACUGCUGUUCUUGAGGGUUGCAGAGGAGACUGGAAUUCCCGGUGUAGCGGUGAAAUGUGUAGAGAUCGGGAGGAACACCGGUGGCGAAGGCGGGUCUCUGGGCAAUCCCUGACGCUGAGGCGCGAAAGCGUGGGGAGCAAACGGGAUUAGAUACCCCGGUAGUCCACGCUGUAAACGAUGACGACUAGGUGUGGGGGGGUUCAGUCCCCUCCGUGCCGCAGCUAACGCAUUAAGUCGUCCGCCUGGGGAGUACGGCCGCAAGGUUGAA
RNAcentral lists this ribosomal RNA (332 nucleotides) under uncultured bacterium. Its description in RNAcentral is "bacterial SSU rRNA". It matches the Rfam family "Bacterial small subunit ribosomal RNA", at positions 568 to 898 of the family's 1533-position model. The record is from RNAcentral.